Molecule: ribosomal RNA, 253 nt
Filed under: uncultured bacterium
Lineage: Bacteria
Description: partial 16S ribosomal RNA
Rfam family: Bacterial small subunit ribosomal RNA
Source: RNAcentral
GACGAACCGUGCGAACGUUGUUCGGAAUCACUGGGCUUAAAGGGCGCGUAGGCGGGCUCACAAGUCAGGGGUGAAAUCCCACGGCUCAACCGUGGAAGUGCCUUUGAUACUGUGGGUCUUGAGGGAGGUAGGGGCGUGCGGAACUUCCGGUGGAGCGGUGAAAUGCGUAGAUAUCGGAAGGAACACCGGUGGCGAAAGCGAUCCGCUGGACCUCUUCUGACACUGAGGCGCGAAAGCCAGGGGAGCAAACGGG